Molecule: ribosomal RNA, 366 nt
Filed under: Triticum aestivum (bread wheat)
Lineage: Eukaryota; Viridiplantae; Streptophyta; Magnoliopsida; Poales; Poaceae
Description: partial small subunit ribosomal RNA
Source: RNAcentral
GAGAGGCGCGGUUGGUCAAAUUGCGGGCUAUAUCCUCUUUGUAGGCAAACUGAGCAAUCAAUGAGCCACCUAUUCUUCAAGUGUCAGUUCACCUUGAGGCUUUGGGGCAUGAUCAGGGCUUGGCUCAACCUCGUCCACGCUGAUACUUCUCGUUGGAUGGAUGAGCAUUCCAUCAAGGAUUGGUGGAUUACUAUGUCUGAGAAGAAUACGGGGAUUCGGAAGGCGAUGGCGUCCAUCACCAUGCUAUCUUGUCGGACGAUUUGGUGUGAACGGAACGCCUGGGUAUUUCGGCACAAGUCCACGGUUCCGUCUAUCAUCUUCUCCAACAUCAAAAGCGAUGCCACACUUUGGGUCACUACCGCGUGA